UCCGAGUUGACCCCGGCAGUCUCCUGCGAGUCCCCGCCAUUACGCGCUGGCAACACAGGACAAGGGUUGCGCUCGUUGCGGGACUUAACCCAACAUCUCACGACACGAGCUGACGACAGCCAUGCACCACCUGUAUACCGACCACAAGGGGGGCCGUAUCUCUACGGCUUUCCGGUAUACGUCAAACCCAGGUAAGGUGGGGAUGACGUCCUUGCUAGGUAA
This 222-nucleotide unclassified non-coding RNA is filed under the name uncultured Nocardiaceae bacterium. RNAcentral's name for it is "contains 16S-23S intergenic spacer region". Lineage: Bacteria; Bacillati; Actinomycetota; Actinomycetes; Mycobacteriales; Nocardiaceae. The record is from RNAcentral.